Molecule: RNA transcript, 2356 nt
Organism: Ornithodoros turicata
Lineage: Eukaryota; Metazoa; Arthropoda; Arachnida; Ixodida; Argasidae
Gene: CDase
Gene name: neutral ceramidase B-like
Exons: 18
Source: RefSeq, a predicted model, not a curated record
CGACAAAGCAUCUCUGCCAGCUCGUGCCCUGUGAGCCUCGGUGUGGUGCAGGCGGUUCCACCCGCGUCGCUAUACAAAAUUCGCGCCUAUCCAAACUGGCCAUGCAAGAUUCGUACGUGAAACGGAGGAGGACGGAGCCGGUUCUGUUGCACCUCACUCGCAAGCGGCUUCACAAAUUCUCCGCGUAACCCGCUUUUCCAAAGGUACACACUUCACUUUCGCUGUGCCUCACGAACAUGUGGAGGUACGCGGUCCUGGCCACCGUGUUGUUGGUGAGCAUCAUCAACGGGUCGCAGCAAGAGUAUGAGAUCGGAGUGGGCAUCGCGGACAUCACUGGACCUGCCGCUGAGAUCGGAAUGUUGGGGUACGGUAAGGCCGGCCAGCUGACGUCCGGCAUCCACAUACGAGUCUACAGCCGAGCUUUCAUAAUCAGCGACAAGAAAUCUCGGGUUGCCAUCGUUAAUGUCGACUCGGGGAUGAUAUCGGACGCGGUGAAAACACAAGUAGUCGAACACCUACAAGAUAAGUAUGGUAAGCACCUGUACGGAGAAGACAACGUCCUGGUGACAGCCACGCACACCCAUUCGUCUGCGGGAGGAUUUAUGCAGUAUCUGCUGUACAAUAUUCAGAACCAGGGAUAUAUCAAAGAAGUGGCUGAUGUCCAAACCAGUGGCAUUAUCAAAAGCAUAGAUCAGGCUCAUAACAAUAUGAAAAGGGGUUACAUCUAUUGGAAUGAAGGGGACGUUCUCCAUGCUAACAUCAACAGAAGCCCAUCCGCGUACGAGGCGAAUCCCAAAGAAGAAAGGGAUCUGUACAACAAGAACACCGACACACGGAUGUUCCUGUUGAAGUUCACCGACGUCCACGGAAACUCCAUUGGCAUGAUCAAUUGGUUUGCCGUACAUCCUACGAGUAUGAACAACACCAACCAACUGAUCAGCGGGGACAACAAAGGGUACGCACAGUUAAAAUUCGAACAAGCCAUGAACGGAAAAGCGCUUCUGGGAAAGGGUCCGUUUAUUGCCGCAUUCGCGCAAGCGAACGAAGGCGAUGUUUCGCCUAACCUGGAAGGACCUCGUUGCAUUGAUACGGGUCUACCGUGCGACUUCGAAACGUCGACUUGCAAUGGGAGGAAUUACAAGUGCAUUGCCUUUGGCCCAGGAAAGGACAUGUUUGAAAGUACAAAGGUUCUUGGAGAACGUCAGUUCCAAAAAGCUAUGGAUCUUUUCAACUCUGCGAGCCAAAAAUUGUCAGGGCCUGUAGCGUUCGCCUACCAGACCGUUGACAUGGGACGAUACGAAGUAGACGACAAUGAGGCAGAGCCAGCGACCACGUGCAAAGCCGCCCUUGGGUACAGCUUUGCUGCGGGCACGACAGACGGACCUGGAGAGUUCGACUUCACUCAAUCCACAACCGAGGCUACCGUCUUCUGGAACUUCUUGCGAGAUUUCAUCCAAAGGCCUUCCAAAAAGCUCAACAAAUGUCAGUACCCGAAGCCUGUUCUCCUUCCUGUUGGAGAGAUGCGGUUCCCAUCACAAUGGGUAGCUUCUGUCGUCCCGACACAGCUGCUGAAGAUUGGGCAGGCUUACAUUAUAGGUGCACCUGGAGAAUUCACGACAAUGGCAGGACGACGAAUUAUGGCUGCCGUCAGAAAGGUUGUGAGUGAAAAGGACAAAGAUGCCUUAAUCGCGUUUGCCGGCCUGUCCAACACGUACACGCAUUACGUCACCACGUUCGAAGAAUAUCAAGUCCAGCGGUAUGAAGGCGCAUCGACACUUUACGGGCCCCACACUUUGGCUGCUUACAAAAAGCAAUUUGAACUGCUAGCGCGAUGUAUCACAGAGUCGAAGCCUUCACCUCCUGCGGUUCCUUUGCCAAAUCUCAUUUCAAGGCAGAUUUCAUUCAAGACGCCCGUGGUCUUUGAUGGAGUCCCGAUCAGGAAACAUUUUGGGCAGGUUGUGGCGGACGCAAAAGGAUCGUACUGUAGGGGAGAAACUGUGUCUGUAACAUUUAUCUCUGGGCAUCCACGAAAUGACCUAAUGGUACGACGCUUGCAGAGUUGGAUGGUACAUACCUGACUGUAGAGAAGCUACGAGACGACGGAGAUACGUGGGAGGUCAUUGCCACAGAUGCCAAUUGGGAGACAAGAUUCUACUGGAAACGGACGUCAACGUUAUGGGGCCACAGUCAAGUAACAGUGACGUGGGACAUUCCUAAAGAUGCAGAGCCAGGGCUGUACAGAAUUCGUCACUUCGGACACAGCAAGAAUUUGCUGCAACUCAUCAUGCCAUAUGAGGGCACCAGCGGUCGUUUUAGGAUAGAAAGCUAGGUGUAUAAUACAACUUCGUGCCCAAUG